Small nucleolar RNA from Nannospalax galili (Upper Galilee mountains blind mole rat), 127 nucleotides. NCBI's taxonomy places the organism in Eukaryota, Metazoa, Chordata, Mammalia, Rodentia, Spalacidae. The record is from Ensembl.
AGCAUUUGCGUGUGUUUUUGUUCAAGUGGUGGACAAAGACAUCAAAGGCAUGUGCAAAAAUAAUCCUCUUUUGCAAUCCAGAACUCACUGUUCAGUAUGAGUUUUGAUACAUAUAAGAAAGAAUAUG